AAAGUCGUAACAAGGUUUCCGUAGGUGAACCUGCGGAAGGAUCAUUACUGAUUUGGCGGACCGAGCGUCAGCGAGGUUCCGCGAUCACUUGUAUUUAAAACCCAACUUUGAAUGUAAUAUGUAUAUUUUUGUAAUAAUAAAAAAAGAUCACUUUCAACAACGGAUCUCUUGGCUCUC
RNAcentral lists this unclassified non-coding RNA (177 nucleotides) under Glomeromycotina sp. RNAcentral describes it as "partial contains small subunit ribosomal RNA, internal transcribed spacer 1, and 5.8S ribosomal RNA". The stretch from base 1 to 47 matches the Rfam family "Eukaryotic small subunit ribosomal RNA", at positions 1785 to 1831 of the family's 1831-position model. Lineage: Eukaryota; Fungi; Glomeromycota. The record is from RNAcentral.